This 272-nucleotide unclassified non-coding RNA is filed under the name air metagenome. RNAcentral's name for it is "partial contains small subunit ribosomal RNA, internal transcribed spacer 1, and 5.8S ribosomal RNA". The stretch from base 1 to 46 matches the Rfam family "Eukaryotic small subunit ribosomal RNA", at positions 1786 to 1831 of the family's 1831-position model. The record is from RNAcentral.
AAGUCGUAACAAGGUUUCCGUAGGUGAACCUGCGGAAGGAUCAUUAUCGAGUUUUGAAAUGGGUUGUAGCUGGUCUCCUCGGAGGCAUGUGCACGCCCUGCUCAUCCACUCUACACCUGUGCACUUACUGUAGAUAUUGGAGAGGCGUCACGUCGUUUAUGACGAGGCGUUGACCCGUAUCUAUGUUUCACUACAAACGCUUCAGUAUCAGAAUGUGUAUUGCGAUGUAACGCAUCUAUAUACAACUUUCAGCAACGGAUCUCUUGGCUCUC